AUGGAACAGCCGGCGCGCCAUACGAACGACGACGGGUCGCGCACUACGAGUAGGGCGCUGGUCGGCUCCGAAACCCCGAAGAGGAGGAAGAAGAAGAAGAUCGUGGAAGAAAGUGGACGUAGACUCGCCAACAAUUGAGGCCGAGGCUAUUUGACUUAGCCAGUGGCGGAAGGAAAGAUCGUUACAAGCAAAGAGUGUCCAAAUUAAAGAUCCGCGAGAGGACUUGAGUCCCGCAAAGCACGAAGAAGAGCCAGAGCAUUGUUGAAGACAAAUAGAGAAUAAAUCGAGAAAGAUGUCGUCUUCAGCGGUUGCUAAAACCUCUAAGUACACGUACCGUUCUGGCGGUGCGGGUGGAACUACCGAUGUUAGCAUCGAAUACAGCGCCGACCUGAGCGCUCUCACCAGACUCGAGGACAAAAUCCGCCUACUACAGGAUGACCUGGAGUCUGAAAGAGAGCUGCGUCAGAGGAUCGAACGCGAGCGCGCUGACUUAAGCGUGCAAGUCAUCCAACUAUCCGAACGUCUCGAAGAAGCCGAGGGUGGCGCCGAAUCUCAAUUUGAGAUCAACAAGAAGAGGGACACGGAACUGGCCAAGCUGCGUAAACUACUCGAAGAUGUCCAUCUCGAAAGCGAGGAGACCGCACACCUCUUGCGCAAAAAGCACCAAGAGGUCGUCGUUGAUUUUCAAGAUCAGAUUGAUCAACUUUCGAAAGCACGCGCUAGGGCUGACAAGGAAAAAUCUAAAUUCCAGCAGGAAGUGUAUGAGCUCCUCGCCCAACUUGACAAUGUCACUAAAGAAAAGAUGAUGUCAAUUAAAACAGUUGAGAAACUCGAGAUACACAUAUCUGAAUUGAACGUAAAAAUCGAGGAAUUAAAUCGCACGAUUGUCGAUAUUACUAGUCACAAAACUCGGCUGUCUCAAGAGAAUAUUGAAUUAGUCAAAGAGGUGCAAGAUCUUAAGGUGAACAUUGAGAACAUUUCCUAUCUGAAAACGCAAAUCGCGGGUCAACUCGAGGAUGCCCGCCGUCGGCUGGAAGAUGAAGAACGUCGUCGUUCAUUGAUCGAAGCUUCUUUGCAUCAGGUUGAGGUGGAAUUGGAGUCCGUUCGCGUUCAGCUGGAAGAAGAAUCUGAAGCGCGUUUGGAUAUUGAACGUCAAUUGGUUAAAGCUAAUGGAGAAGUUUCGAUAUGGAGGUCAAAAUACGAGACUGAAGCUAAUGCUCGUAUCGAAGAGGUAGAAGAACUUCGUCGCAAAUAUUCUGCUCGCAUUCAAGAACAGGAAGAACAAAUCGAGACCUUACUUGUGAAAAUUAAUAAUCUUGAGAAGCAGAAAUCGCGCUUACAAUCCGAAGUGGAAGUUUUGAUCAUUGAUUUAGAAAAGGCCAAUGGAACUGCUCGUGAACUUCAAAAGCGUGUUGAACAUCUUGAAAAGAUCAACAUAGAAUUGAAGUCUCGCUUGGAUGAAACUCUCGCCAUGUACGAACAAAGCCAGCGAGAUCUCCGCAACAAACAACAAGAGCUACAGCGCACAAAUGCCGAACUCGACAAGACUCGUGAAAUGAAAGAUCAAUUGGCCCGCGAGAAUAAGAAACUUGGAGAUGAUCUUAGCGACGCAAAGAAUCAAUUGGCUGACAUGAAUCGCAGACUCCAUGAACUGGAGCUAGAACUCCGCCGAUUGGAGAACGAACGUGAAGAAUUGGCUGCUGCCUAUAAGGAAGCUGAAGCAGGCCGCAAAAUUGAAGAGCAACGUGCUCAGAAAUUGUCAGCCGAAUUGAGCCAAAUGCGUCACGAGUUCGAACGUCGCCUUAAUGAAAAGGACGAAGAGAUUGAGGCUAUUCGCAAACAGACCAGCAUUGAAAUCGAGCAGUUGAACGCUCGUGUGGUGGAAGCCGAGACGAGACUGAAGACGGAGGUUCAGCGUAUAAAGAAGAAGAUGCAGAUCCAAAUCACUGAGCUCGAAUUGUCCUUGGACGUCGCCAACAAGAAUAACAUCGAUUUGCAGAAGACCAUCAAGAAGCAAGCUCUCACUUUGACCGAACUGCAAGCUCAUUACGAUGAGGUACAACGCCAAUUGCAAGUGACCCUGGAUCAACUGGGCAUUAGUCAACGUCGUCUCCAAUCAUUGACGGCCGAGCUCGAGGAAGUCCGCGGCAAUUACGAAUCCGCUUUGCGCGCGAAGAGAACUGUCGAGCAGCAAUACGAGGAAUCGGUUAGCCGCAUCAACGAGCUAACUACGAUCAACGUAAAUCUGUCUUCAAUGAAAGCUAAAAUAGAGCAAGAACUGGCCACCUUGGCUGGAGAUUACGAAGAGGUUACUAAGGAAUUGAGAGUUAGCGAUGAGAGAUAUCAGAGAGUGCAGACUGAACUCAAGCACACCGUCGAGAUUCUUCAUGAGGAACAGGAGCGUAUUGUCAAGAUCGAGGCUAUCAAGAAGUCACUGGAAAUCGAGGUGAAGAACUUGUCCAUCAGAUUGGAAGAGGUCGAGGCCAACGCUAUUGUUGGAGGCAAGCGCAUCAUCAGCAAGCUCGAAGCCAGGAUCCGCGAUCUAGAACUGGAAUUGGACGAAGAAAAGCGCCGACAUGCUGAGACCGUGAAGAUACUGCGCAAGAAGGAGCGCAACAUUAAGGAGGUAAUGAUUCAAGUUGAAGAGGACGCGAAGAACAUUGCCUUGCUGCAGGAAACGCUUGACAAAGCCUCCCAGAAGGUCAGCAUCUACAAGAGACAGCUGCAGGAGCAGGAAGGCAUGUCCCAACAGAGCGUCACCAGAGUCCGCCGAUUCCAAAGAGAACUCGAGGCCGCGGAGGAUCGCGCCGACACGGCGGAGAGCAAUUUGACCCUGAUACGCGCCAAACACCGCAGCUUUGUCACCACUUCAACCGUGCCCGGUUCCCAGGUGUACCUCGUCCAGGAGACGAGGCAGGAUUUGUAAAAUAACCAUCAUCUUACCCUUUGCCACUUCGAACGCAUGUCGUCGUCUUUACGAACGCACAUUGAACACCUUAGGAGAAAAAAGGAAGAGAAAGAAGACGCGACAUCAAUCAUACUAAAGAGGCCAAGAGAGAGAAAGAGUUUUCAACGGGCCGUACAGCAUGUUAUUUUCGAGGGGUUUAAAUUGGAGCAACCAGAAUAUGUACCUAUAAACGUAUGAACAUCGAUGCGAGUACGGUGUUUACUGUCACGUGACGACCCGUCGCAAAUUCGAAACUGCUUGGCCAACGAAAUGCGAUACAUCGCAACGAAAAUGUUAAAAUAAAAGAAAAUUAACGCUCAUUACUUUACGAGAUUUACUCAAAGUAUCGAAAACGUCAAAAUUAAGAAUCGUUAUAUCGUUUAACAGAUGAACAAAUAAAAUCUAACAAUCUUCUCGUCCUAAUUAUGUGAAUAUAUUCGAAUGUGAGGGCAGAGAAAAACGGAUAAGAAGCACAAGAAGAGAGCAAUGGCAAUCUACGCCAUUGCAUACGCGCGUGUCGCAAUUGUAUUUAAAUGGAUAAUUUUAAUUCUAUUCUAUUACUAUAUAGAUAGGUAACUAUUGCCCAUAUACACGACUCUCACUGUACAACAUACACAAUAACCUGUGUCAACAUUAAUUUAAUAAAUAAAGUGAAACACGUACGUACGAAAA
This is an RNA transcript of Solenopsis invicta (red fire ant), 3619 nucleotides long. It is a transcript of the gene named paramyosin, long form, with no coding region annotated. The transcript has 16 exons. The record is from RefSeq and is a predicted model, not a curated record. Lineage: Eukaryota; Metazoa; Arthropoda; Insecta; Hymenoptera; Formicidae.